This 434-nucleotide ribosomal RNA is filed under the name uncultured Bacteroides sp. RNAcentral describes it as "bacterial SSU rRNA". It matches the Rfam family "Bacterial small subunit ribosomal RNA", at positions 957 to 1393 of the family's 1533-position model. The record is from RNAcentral. Lineage: Bacteria; Pseudomonadati; Bacteroidota; Bacteroidia; Bacteroidales; Bacteroidaceae.
UAACGCGAAGAACCUUACCCGGGCUUAAAUUGCACCUGAAUAAUGUGGAAACAUGUUAGCCGUAAGGCAGGUGUGAAGGUGCUGCAUGGUUGUCAUCAGCUCGUGCCGUGAGGUGUCGGCUUAAGUGCCAUAACGAGCGCAACCCUUAUCUUCAGUUACUAACAGGUCAUGCUGAGGACUCUGGAGAGACUGCCGUCGUAAGAUGUGAGGAAGGUGGGGAUGACGUCAAAUCAGCACGGCCCUUACGUCCGGGGCUACACACGUGUUACAAUGGGAGGUACAGAAGGCCGCUACCUGGCGACAGGAUGCCAAUCCCCAAAACCUCUCUCAGUUCGGAUCGAAGUCUGCAACCCGACUUCGUGAAGCUGGAUUCGCUAGUAAUCGCGCAUCAGCCAUGGCGCGGUGAAUACGUUCCCGGGCCUUGUACACACCGA